CUUGAAGAGUUGAAGUGUUUCUUUUGCUUUUUCCUUUCAUAGUGUUGCGAAUGUCCAUGUCAAUCUUACUAAAGAUUUCAGUGGUAGAAAACGAGAAGUGACGUGUAUUGCAAAAGAUAAUAUUGAUAAUAUUGCAAAAGUAAAUUGUUAUGACAAAUAUAUACAUGUUACUGACGUGUUUAAGUAACAAAGAUCAAAUUUUAUUGCAGAUCAAUACAAGAAUAACUAAAUAUAUAUAUAUAAUCUAGAAUAUAAAAAUAUACAGUUCAAAAUUAUAAAUUUAACAAAUUUAAAGUACAUAAUCCGCGCGUAGCGCGGAAAAAGCUCUAGUAUACAUUAAUAAAUGUAAUUAAAAGUCUUACAGAAUAUCUCAUAAUAUCUUAAAUAAAUAUUUUUCUUUGUUUCUUUUUUCAUUUUUCUUUAUUACUUAGAUAUUCAUUGAAUUUUAUAGAUGAAAUUACUCUUACUGGUUAUGCAUUAAUUUAUGGUUUAAUUAUUUUAGUUUUUUCCUAUUCCUAAGUAAAAUGUUAAAUAAAAAAUUAGAAAUAUGAAAUGGAUGCAUGAAUAAGUAGAUCAAUUUCAUCCAUACAAUUCAAUGAAUAUCUAAUUAAUAAAAAAUGAGAAGAUAUAUAUUUUUUAAUUUAAAAUACUAUGAGAUAUUCUUUAAUACUUUCAAAUACAUAUUUGUUAAUGUAUAAAUGACUUAAUAUAUUUUAUACAUUUAAAUUAAUUAAUUAAUUUUUAUUAAUAUAAUAAUCUUCUUUGAUUAGAAUCCCAUUUUAGAUACUAGACUAAUAACUAAUAAGGUUGCUCUUUCAUAUUAUAUAUAUAUAUAGUCUAUAUUGUACUUUCGAGAAAAUACAACCAUUAAAUAGCAAACAAACACACCGUUUUUAGAAGAGUAUUACGAUAAUGGCAUCGUCACAUCUUACUAUCAUGUGCCUCAUCAUGAUUUCUCUCGUUCUUAUACAGCAGUUGGGUGACGCAUACGGUCUAGAAGCAAAAAGAAGACAGUGCCUCCCUGUAGAAUGUUCCUUACCCAGAGUAGGAAGAUAUUGUGCUUGCUGUGUCGAAGGAGAGAAAACAUUAAAAUGUUGGGUUAAGAAAGAAGAAUGUAUGGCAAAUUGCAAGAAGCUCCCAGUUCGUUGAAUGGCUUAAGAAACUUGAAAGAUUUAGAACAUAUUCAUGUGAAAUAUCUCAAUAAAAUUAUUAAAAUUUUAUAAAAUUCAGAUAUUAAUUAA
Brassica napus (rape) is the source of this 1241-nucleotide long non-coding RNA. RefSeq lists it as uncharacterized. NCBI's taxonomy places the organism in Eukaryota, Viridiplantae, Streptophyta, Magnoliopsida, Brassicales, Brassicaceae. The record is from RefSeq and is a predicted model, not a curated record. The transcript is spliced from 2 exons.